RNAcentral lists this long non-coding RNA (335 nucleotides) under Gallus gallus (chicken). RNAcentral describes it as "lncRNA (ENSGALG00010014158.1)". The record is from RNAcentral. Lineage: Eukaryota; Metazoa; Chordata; Aves; Galliformes; Phasianidae.
CAGUGAUAAUUCUUUCAUCUUCUGUUUGUCACAGAUAUUUCCAUUUCUAGGAAUCUUUUUUUUUUCCCCUUUAGUAUGCACUGCAGUGCAUGAUGCUGAUGCCUGUUGUAUGAUGUACUGUUUAUUGCAGGCCGCAGCUGUUAAAAAAAUGGUACUAUAUCCUCCCUGGAUGACAGUGAAUCAUAUAAAAUGAACCCUAAGGAAACUGUAUGAAAGAGAAAAUGAAGAACGUAAGUAGUGGAAGACAAAUCACAUGGAGUAAUACAGUUACUGUGAACUUCUCAUAUCUUCUCCUUUUAGCCUCCAAACAUAACACUGAAAUUGCUGUACAAGAA